RNAcentral lists this long non-coding RNA (1483 nucleotides) under Homo sapiens (human). RNAcentral's name for it is "long intergenic non-protein coding RNA 2223". Lineage: Eukaryota; Metazoa; Chordata; Mammalia; Primates; Hominidae. The record is from RNAcentral.
ACUGUGAGAAAAGACAGAAAUGACCAUGAUGCAUCUUUCUCACUAUGAGAAAAAGAAUACUGAGUAUGUUCCUGUGUCACCUUAUUUGCCAAUAGUGCCAAUUUUUAGAAUGGAGGGUGUAGAUCCAUCCUUUGCAACUGGUGAGGACCUCCUCAGUAAGGCACUGAGCCAGGAGUCUAUACAGCCAUGCCAGCAGGGAGCACUGUCUUUCAUUGUCUGAUGUUUAUUGCAAACCUGUUCUUUUCAGCUUUUUGUUGUUUCAGAAGUCUUGAGAGGAGUCAGCGGCCAAGCUCCAUGUCUUGCAGCCAAACAAUGCUGUGGGAUGGAAGGUGGGAUGUCAUGUGUCUGGUUUACAGCACUCACGUAUCAGUUGGCAGUUAACGGAAGUGCUACUGAUUGUAACAGUGGAAGCAAUUUGAAAUGAAAUACAACACUUAAAGCAAAUGAAACGGAAGUGAAUGCCAGCAGUAAAUGGCAAGAAGAAAUCCAGUUCAGUGUGUUCCUCAGAAAUCUUGCCUCUUGGGACUAAAUGCUGCAAAUGUAACUCUUAUCCUUGUUUUUCAAGUUUUACCAUCUCAAAGCUAUCCACUUUAUAUUAAAUUAGUUCUGUUAUAUUAUGUCAAUUUGUAUUCUUAAGAGCACAAGUUUGGCCUCAAAUAGACCUGAGCUGAGAUCCAAUUCUUUAAUUUAUCUGUGUUGUUUUCUUUUUCCUUAGCUUUAAAGUGGAAAAAAUGCUACUUACAUUUUAUUUAUGAAGGUUAAAGAUAAAGUGUCUGAUAUGGGACCUAUCAUAUGUGGUAGGCACUUAGUACAUGGUAGCAAUUAUGAUUAUUAUAUCUGAUAUUAGCAUUAUUAUUAUGAUUUGUUUUAAUCUUCAAAGUAUCAACUGUUUCUAUUACAUUUGUGGUAAAUACUCCUAAACAGAGUUUUUAAGUUCAAGUGUCCAAAGUUGUUAGAAACAAAGAUAUUUGACAAUAACAUAAUCAUAUCACAUGACCUCAUGAUUUAACCACCUCCCAAAGUUGCCACCUCCUAAUAUUAUCACCUUGGGGGUGAGGUUUCAACAUAUGAAUUUUAGAGGAACAUAAACAUUCAGACCAUAGCAAUAAUGAAGAUAAAGAGUUUAUUCAUAGAUAAAUGUUAAGAAGUAGAUACUGUUUGUUAGGAGAAGUGUCCACAGUUAGGGAGAAGUUAGAGGUCUGGUGUCAUCUUUGAUUUUUGUGUUUCUUCCGGAACCCUGUUGCCUGGCUUCCUACACUAUUUCUUGUGUCUUUUUCUUGUAGCUAAACUUGAACAUUUUUUCCUUGAGUACCAUUUUACAAUCAACUGUGCUUUUAUGCAGUGGACUUUCACUGAAUGUCCCCUAUUGGAAAUUUUAACAACAAUUUAACAACUAUUUAUUUGAUACUUUCUGUAUAACCAAUAUUAUUGAACAUCCUAGGAACACAUACAUAAAUAAAACUUGAUCUCUGCUUUCAGAAAA